UCUCCGUAGGUGAACCUGCGGAGGGAUCAUUACAGAGUUCAUGCCCUAACGGGUAGAUCUCCCACCCUAUGUUAUCAUCACUUUGUUGCUUUGGCGGGCCGUCAGGCCUCGGCUUGGCUACCGGCUCUCGCUGGUAAGCGCCCGCCAGAGAACCCCAAACCCUGAAUAUCAGUGUCGUCUGAGUACUAUAUAAUAGUUAAAACUUUCAACAACGGACCUCUUGGUUCUG
This 229-nucleotide unclassified non-coding RNA is filed under the name plant metagenome. RNAcentral's name for it is "partial contains small subunit ribosomal RNA, internal transcribed spacer 1, and 5.8S ribosomal RNA". The record is from RNAcentral.